CCUCAAGAUGAGAUUUCCCAGUAUGUAAGACCCCUUGAAGACGACGAGGUAGAUAGGCUGGGGGUGGAAGUGCAGCAAUGCAUGGAGCUGACCAGUACUAAUCGGUCGAGGGCUUAUCCAAUA
This 123-nucleotide ribosomal RNA is filed under the name Paenibacillus xylanilyticus. RNAcentral describes it as "partial 23S ribosomal RNA". It matches the Rfam family "Bacterial large subunit ribosomal RNA", at positions 2797 to 2925 of the family's 2925-position model. Lineage: Bacteria; Bacillati; Bacillota; Bacilli; Caryophanales; Paenibacillaceae. The record is from RNAcentral.